AGUAUACAAUAAUGCAAUAAUGACGUUGAUUUUGUAGUCUAAUAUUAUAAUAUUAGACUACAAAAUCAACGUCAUUAUUGUAUUAUUG
Paramuricea clavata is the source of this 88-nucleotide non-coding RNA. The record is from the annotation of a GenBank genome assembly. Lineage: Eukaryota; Metazoa; Cnidaria; Anthozoa; Malacalcyonacea; Plexauridae.